Long non-coding RNA from Solea solea (common sole), 2926 nucleotides. RefSeq lists it as uncharacterized. Lineage: Eukaryota; Metazoa; Chordata; Actinopteri; Pleuronectiformes; Soleidae. The record is from RefSeq and is a predicted model, not a curated record. The transcript is spliced from 2 exons.
GGGAAUUACGUACCUCAUGCAAUACAUGAAGACAAAUGUUCAAUGCAACCUAUGUGACCUGAGACCAUUGACACUUUGUAUUGCUAAUGUAACUGUUUGAUGCGACUUGUGACAAGUGACCAUUUGGAUUGUUUUAGGAACUGUUUGAUGUGACUUGGGAAUAGAGACAAAAGGGCCAGCGAGAUAACAAACCCUGCAGAGGCGGGGGUCUGCACUUUAUGGCAGGGCGAUAGCUGACCCAUUGAGACAGAUAAAUACCUUGCGAUUCCUACAAGACAGGGAGUCUUCACGUUGUAACUGAUCCUGUGUGUUGCUUUGUGAAUGCUCCUCUUGUACAAGAUUAAAACCCUUGUUUGGACACUGAGCUGACUUCCGAUCUCCUUCCUAUGGAUCUCAAUUCUUUUGACAACUUGGCGCCCAACGUGGGGCCCCAAUACCUGUCGCUCUCUUCACAUCAACGGACCUGAAGACCUUGCAAGGCGGAGGUAUGAAAAAAGAAAUCCUCCUAGAAGUCCUCCACCACAGGGCUCUUAAAGCUCUGUUUUGGUCAGGGAGGCCAGGUUCUGUGAAGAGUGGGACAGUGACGGGGCCAACCAAGGAGGUUGAGACGGAUCAGCCAGACAAACAUUGAGUCAGGGACUCAAAUCAUCAAAAGGAUAAACAGGAGGAUGAUGAUUAUGUGCCUCUGGGUUCCCAUCUCAACCCUCCCCCGUACGUCAACCCUCAACUACCGCCGCCUCCUGCACAGGACUCCGCUCCAGCCCUUCACCCUCCUCUCUCUACUCCUACCCUCUCCGCUCCAACACAGACAGAAAAAAACAUAGAAGAUCCAAGAACACGCUCUGGUAAGUGGUAUAAUUCUUAUAACCCUCCUAACAUGCCAAUACUCUCUCCUCCAAAGAAGUCAGUGAUUUUAAAUGUAGAAGGAGAAGAAAUGUAUCCAAUGAUAGAAAUGCCCAACCCGAGAGCUGAGGAUGGACAGGAUGCAACAAUGUUAACCAUGGAGGCUGGAGGGGGAGAGGCAGAGGAGCAGGACGGGGAGGACGGAGAUUUGGAGAUGAGAGCUGCUACAACUGUGGCAAAUUUGGACAUUGGGCUCAAAGGUGUCCCGCUCUAAAGGGCAGGACACACAGAGGCUGGUGGGAAAGAGGAAGAGGAGGAGGAGGAGGAGGGGGACCCAGACGAGUUGAUGAUUCAUCAGCGAUACUAGUCAAUAAACCAGGUCAUGCACUCACACACAAACACAUACAUACCAGGACACAGAAGAUGAGGAGGAAGAAGUAUGUACACUAGAAAACACUGAAGUAUUUUUGAGUAUAAACCAAAAGCCAUAGUCACCCUGUUGGUUAAUAAUCAUAAAACUUGUUUUCUAUGCGAUACUGAAGCAUGCAAAAUAAUAAUUGGAGAAGAUGAAUGCGGUAGUAAAUUACCACUUCAACACUGUAAAGGUAUGAAGGUGAGAUCUGUAACAGGACACAUAGUCACAAAGCCACUUAGUCGACCUGUGUCGAUUACUGAUCUGAGAACAAAAUAAUUUGUUUAAAUUAAAACAAUAUUGAGUCAUGGGAUUACCCAUGUCUCAACAGGAGGGAUGGUAUCUACAAUAGAUAAACAUAUUUACUAAAAAUGUAUGCCUAAUGUAUCAAUAGAUAAACAUAUUUACUAAAAAUGUAUGCCUAAUGUAUUCUAAGCACAAUGCUCAAGGCAGACUAGUCAAUAAAACCAGAUCCAGCUCCACAGGAGGGCCAAUUAAUCCAGGAGAUUGGGGGUUGGUGAAGUGGUCAGCUUCACACUGGGAAGGGCCCUAUCAACUACUACUGUCGACACCUACAGCAGUACACAUAGCUGAAAGACAGACAAUGGAUCACACACUUCAAAAGAGAACAACCCUAUCUGUAGAGUAAGAAAAAAAAAAAUUCAGGUUUCAAAGAACCUCUGAUUGGAUGGCUUUGGAAAAUGGGCAGGUUCUAUACGUUAUCUGUAGCUGUGAUGAUUGAUAUUCUAAUCACUUGUGGAUUUUGUAUUCCUGUUUGAGAGGACUGUUACAGAGACUCAGGACACCGCUUUAAAAAAAAAAAAAACAACAACAAAAAAAAACUAUGCUGCAUGAAAGAGUCCCCACCACCGAUGACCACCGAGAGGACUACAAGAAUGCAGCACCAGAAAAUGUUACAUCUGAUUUGACUAAUGAUGAUCUAUAUGGUACAAUGUGUGAUGAAGAUAAGAACAACAUGGUUUAAGAAAAUUUUGUUUAUGUGUUUAUUCUACCGAUUAUGAUGGUACUACAGGAAAUCUAGAAGUUGUAGUGUUCUGAAUUGGUCCCCAUUGAAUUCGUUUUGGGAUAACAAUAUAAUCAAGAUGUUUUUGAAUGUAUCUUUUAUGCCUUGUCAAAUGGAGUACCUGCGUGUGGUUGCCGGGGCAGCGGGACCGUGAGAGAGUUUCCCUAUCUAGAAAGAAAAUGGUUAAUUGGAAUGUUUUGAACUGCUCGAUAGGGUUUUCGCUCUCACACUCUACAACAUUUGUUAUAAUUAUGCUUAAGCAUAAACAGGAGGGAUAUGUUAUGGGAAUUACGUACCUCAUGCAAUACAUGAAGACAAAUGUUCAAUGCAACCUAUGUGACCUGAGACCAUUGACACUUUGUAUUGCUAAUGUAACUGUUUGAUGCGACUUGUGACAAGUGACCAUUUGGAUUGUUUUAGGAACUGUUUGAUGUGACUUGGGAAUAGAGACAAAAGGGCCAGCGAGAUAACAAACCCUGCAGAGGCGGGGGUCUGCACUUUAUGGCAGGGCGAUAGCUGACCCAUUGAGACAGAUAAAUACCUUGCGAUUCCUACAAGACAGGGAGUCUUCACGUUGUAACUGAUCCUGUGUGUUGCUUUGUGAAUGCUCCUCUUGUACAAGAUUAAAACCCUUGUUUGGACACUGA